CCUACGGGAGGCAGCAGUGGGGAAUAUUGGGCAAUGGGCGCAAGCCUGACCCAGCAACGCCGCGUGAAGGAAGAAGGCUUUCGGGUUGUAAACUUCUUUUGUCAGGGACGAAGCAAGUGACGGUACCUGACGAAUAAGCCACUGCUAACUUCGGGCCAGCAGCCGCGGUAAUACGUAGGGGGCAAGCGUUAUCCGGAUUUAUUGGGUGUAAAGGGCGUGUAGGCGGGAAUGCAAGUCAGAUGUGAAAACUAUGGGCUCAACCCAUAGCCUGCAUUUGAAACUGUAUUUCUUGAGUGCUGGAGAGGCAAUCGGAAGUCCGUGUGUAGCGGUGAAAUGCGUAGAUAUACGGAGGAACACCAGUGGCGAAGGCGGAUUGCUGGACAGUAACUGACGCUGAGGCGCGAAAGCGUGGGGAGCAAACAGGAUUAGAUACCCGAGUAGUC
RNAcentral lists this ribosomal RNA (443 nucleotides) under uncultured bacterium. Its description in RNAcentral is "partial 16S ribosomal RNA". It matches the Rfam family "Bacterial small subunit ribosomal RNA", at positions 338 to 795 of the family's 1533-position model. The record is from RNAcentral.